GAUGAAGAACGGAGCGAAAUGCGAUACGUAAUGUGAAUUGCAGAAUUCAGUGAAUCAUCGAAUCUUUGAACGCAUAUUGCGCUCUCUGGUAUUCCGGAGAGCAUGCUUGUUUGAGUAUCAGUAAACACCUCAACUCCCUUUUGUUUUUUGAAAUUGGAGCUGGACUUGAGUGAUCCCAACGCUUUCUUCCAAGAAAGUGGCGGGUUGCUUGAAAUGCAGGUGCAGCUGAACUUUUCUCUGAGCUAUAAGCAUAUCUAUUUAGUCUGCCUAAAAAACAGAUUAUUACCUUUGCUGCAGCUAACAUAACGGAGACUAGUUCUUGUGCUGACUGAUGCAGGAUUCACAGAGACAGCUUCGGCUGACUUUGUAAACUCGAUCUCAAAUCAAGUAAGACUACCCGCUGAACUUAAGCAUAUCAAUAAGCGGAGGA
This 430-nucleotide unclassified non-coding RNA is filed under the name soil metagenome. RNAcentral's name for it is "partial contains 5.8S ribosomal RNA, internal transcribed spacer 2, and large subunit ribosomal RNA". The stretch from base 1 to 120 matches the Rfam family "5.8S ribosomal RNA", at positions 35 to 154 of the family's 154-position model. The record is from RNAcentral.